Molecule: ribosomal RNA, 253 nt
Filed under: uncultured bacterium
Lineage: Bacteria
Description: partial 16S ribosomal RNA
Rfam family: Bacterial small subunit ribosomal RNA
Source: RNAcentral
UACGAAGGGUGCAAGCGUUACUCGGAAUUACUGGGCGUAAAGCGUGCGUAGGUGGUUUGUUAAGUCUGAUGUGAAAGCCCUGGGCUCAGCCUGGGAAUUGCAUUGGAUACUGGCGAGCUAGAGUGCGGUAGAGGAUGGCGGAAUUCCCGGUGUAGCGGUGAAAUGCGUAGAGAUCUGGAGGAAUACCGAUGGCGAAGGCAGCCUUCUGGCAUAAUACUGACACUGAGGCUCGAAAGCGUGGGUAGCAAACAGG